This 1497-nucleotide long non-coding RNA is filed under the name Zostera marina. Its description in RNAcentral is "long non-coding RNA (ZMAR_LNC005767)". The record is from RNAcentral. Lineage: Eukaryota; Viridiplantae; Streptophyta; Magnoliopsida; Alismatales; Zosteraceae.
GAAUUCUUUGAUGCAGACAUUUCAAAUUCUGCUGAUGCAUUGAGUGUGAUGAAGAAAUUGCUGGAUCUCUCUCUCCAGUGUAUUCUUCCUGUAAAUGAAAGACCUGACAUUAGAUGUAUUGCUCGAGAUCUUUCUUCCAUUACUGUAAGAUGAUUUCACAUAUACAUUACAACAUGACAUGAUCUCUUAUUAUUGUUAGGAUUAGAAUGUAUGAUUGUAUGCAUUCAAUUAGAUUAGUUUUCUAUAUCAUUAUAUAUUUAUUUAUUUUGUCUUGUAUUCUUCUCUUCUAAACAUUAUCUGAGGAGAUAUUCUUCUAUUGUAAUUAUAUUUUAAUCAAUAAUUACAAAUCAGGUUUCAUCUGUUGGAUUUUCAUAAGAUUCCUAUUCUAUUCACUUAUGUACAUUUAGACAUUAAAUUCGGAACACUAAUCACCAUCUCAUGGGGAAAGGAAAUGAGAGAAGAAUAGAAAAGCAAUCUUUGAAAAUAUAAAGUUACUCCUAUGAGAGAAAUCACAUAUGUCAAUCAUGUAGUUUCACAGAAGAUAAAUUCAGAAUGUGAGAUGAGUUUUUCUCGAUUAAAAGAUGGGAAAAACCACACAUUGAGCCGAGUGGCAGGCCGAUGUUCUCUUAUAAAGACACGUAGAAUCAACAUGUAAUAAGUAAAGUAGGAAAUACAGAUUAAAAACAAUGUAGGUAAACCCUAAGAUUGAAAGGUAAAUGUUUAUCUAUCAAAAUUUAAAGUUUAGGAAAAGUAGCAUGUUCACUUUGUCAUAUUUUUUUACGUUUUGAAAUCAAUAAAUUAUCUUAUGGUUUCAAACUCAAUUUUUUUUUUUUACAUUUAAACAUUUGUUAUAUUUUUAGACAGUUUAAGGUUUUAAUAUUAUAAAUCUCAGACUCAGAGGUUUUACAGAUAUUAUAAUUUUAUAUAUAAUAUUAUUAGCCUAUUAUUUUAAUUUUUAAGCAGAUAAUAUUAAAUUUUUGUUUAUAAAUCCCUAUAAUAAGCAAAAAAAGAAAGAAAAAAAAGCAAUGAAGAAGAUAAUUAAGAUCAAUAAGAAUUAGUAAGAUCAUUUCCGAUCUGAUCGAGAGAAAAAAGUCGAAUAACACGUACAUGGCCGGAGGAUUCUUAAAAGCAAGGAAGAAGAUUUCCGACAAUCUUCUUCUUUUCCGUCACCGUCUUGCCUUCUUCUCCUCGUCUCCGUUGCAGACGGAAACCAAGUCGCCACCAUCGAUUCCACCUUUCGUCCAUGUUCCCAAACCGUACACAGGGAUCUCCGGAGCUGAGAUUAUGGAGAAAAGAAAACAGUUCCUCGGCUCAUCACUCUACCACUUCUACAAAACCCCGGUGAGAAAAUCUACACCGAUUUCUUUUUUUUUUUUAUAAAAACACCUCGUAUUGUCGGUCGUACCUAUUUGCAGUUAGGUUUCUUUUUUAGGUCAACAUAGUAGAAGGUAAGAUGCAGUACUUGUACGACGAGAAUGGGAAGCGAUAUCUUGAUGC